Paramuricea clavata is the source of this 571-nucleotide non-coding RNA. The record is from the annotation of a GenBank genome assembly. Lineage: Eukaryota; Metazoa; Cnidaria; Anthozoa; Malacalcyonacea; Plexauridae.
CGCCGUAUUGCUGCCUCUUAAUCACGGCCAUACUUAAUUCCUAACCGCAGGGACCCCCCAAUUUUUCCCUACUAUAAUAAAUGUCACUAACCUUGCAGCAGCUUCUUUCUUUAAUAACGUACGUAACUGAUGAAGUAAUCAUACCAGUACUUUAAUCCAACAGUAUAUAGCACAUUUGCCCAAGAUAUCUAUCGUGGUAUUGCACAUUUGCCCAAGAUAUCCACCGAGGUAUUGCACAUUUGCCCAAGAUAUCCACCCAAGGUGUAUUGCACGUUUGCCCAAGAUAUCCACCAUUCUUCAACGAUGUGGUAAGGUGGGGGUAAUUUCAUAUUUAGUGUCGAAAAAAGGUUUGGGGUCCGAUGCUGAGGGGCCUGGUGCGUGGAUUUCACGCUUGAUGCCUUACCUAAGCUAGUCGAGUUUAUCUCACUCGCUCAUGCUGGUCUUAAACGAAAACCUAUAAAGAGACCUAAUGCACUUGCACAUACUGAAAAUGUGCAAUCCUAGCCUAGUGAGAUACCCCUUUAUACAAGCCACCAUUCUGCCACAACAGCAACUUUUAUCAGUAGGUUGC